Molecule: long non-coding RNA, 1281 nt
Filed under: Homo sapiens (human)
Lineage: Eukaryota; Metazoa; Chordata; Mammalia; Primates; Hominidae
Description: HSALNT0397769
Source: RNAcentral
AAUCCCCGCAGGCGCUGGGUCUGCAGAUGGCGUCCAGGUACACAGUGGCGAGUGUGAUUCCGCAGUCUUGGGCUGUUUGGCCAAGCGCCCGCCGGACAUGGUACGCCGAAGGGUCAUCGGCGUGGAGUCCUCGCUUUCAGCGUCCGCGGCUGGGAAAUCGGCCAUCGCUACGGCGGGAACUGGGACUCGGGCUGCGUCCCGGCCCUUCCACAUCGGUCCACCGCACUCGUGGGCGCCCGCAUUGGUGCUGACAUAAUUUCCUGACCUCUGACCCGUAUUGUCUCGCGAUUAAAGGUCCAGAUUUGGAACAAAUCUCUCUAGAGAUUGAACAGAGCUGCGCCUGGAUCCCUCAGCAGUGAGGAGACCUGAAGACCAGAGGAAACACAGCAAGUCCAGGCACUCCCACUCCUCCUGAGAGAAAUCUACAGCCACAUCCCUGAACAUCAUCAACUGUUGGAAAGAAUAAUUCCAAGUAUUAAUGUGCUCUGCCAGAUUGGGACACAGGAGAUAACUGAAAGCCCUGGUGGAUAGAUUUGGUCAUACUGGUUGGAGAAAAGAGGGAUAUCUAGGGAAAGCAUUGGACUGUUUCACAGUCAUUACUUAUGACACUCAAUAGUGAUUCAGGGGCUCACCAGAGAAGACAGGGCAAGGUGAGGGGGAUCUCCUAGCAGAGGAAACAACAUGCGCCAAUCAAGCAAAGAUAUUUUUGUGCAUUCAAGGAACACAGAGAGGAAAGACAGUGGCAGAUGGAGACGUAUAAAGCAGGGAUCCUGUUAUGAAAAGCCCUAAAAAAUAGGGUAUAGAGUUUGGGCCAUAUUUCAGAGGUAAUAAGAAAGCAUUCUGCAUUUUUAAAGUAAGGUUUAAAAAUGUUUCUAAUUAGAGAUACAGCAAAGUUGGUGUGAGAGGAUAAAGACUGAUAUACAUAAUCUGAGGAGUUCAUGAAAAUUCCAUGUAAAGCCUGUAGUAUGAAUUGGUCCUAGGAGACAGACAGCUUCAGGGGCAUAGAGAACUUUAAGCACUUUUCCAAGAAGAGUGAAGGGCUGGAGAAUAAAUUGUGAACUAAAAUAUAUUUUGUGUUUGAGAACAUGAAGUACUUGAGAGUGAUUAUUACACGGUUUUAAGAAAAAACUAGUUCUUUUAAAUAAAACUUUUUUUUAGCUGAGCACAGUGGCUCACGCCUGUAAUCCCAGCACUUUGGGAGGCCGAGGCAGGCGGAUCACCUGAGGUCGGGAGUUCGAGAUCAGCCUGACCAACAUGGACAAACCUCGUCUUAAUUAAAAA